Mastomys coucha (southern multimammate mouse) is the source of this 914-nucleotide long non-coding RNA. RefSeq lists it as uncharacterized. Lineage: Eukaryota; Metazoa; Chordata; Mammalia; Rodentia; Muridae. The record is from RefSeq and is a predicted model, not a curated record. The transcript is spliced from 6 exons.
UGUCACAUCACUAACAGUCCCCGGCUGGAAGAAUCAUCAUGCUACAUAAAUCAUUUGAUGGAAAGAUCCUUAAAUACCAGUUCUGAGCUGGGAUGGGAACAUAAUCCAUUCACUGGAUUCAUUCCGUAAAUUGACAUUCAGUAUGUAGUUCACAAGGUUCUGCCCUCAGGGAAAACGUAGAACACUAACAGAGACACAGAAAUCAACUCCCACCAACAGUGAGCAGAGUGCCAUGUCUGGGUGAGCAGAGUGUCCUGUCUGGAGCCAAUGAACUCACUAUGUGAACACACAGUUAUGACCUGGAGGUCAAAAGAAGCUUUCCAAGCAGGUGACGACUAUGUAGUUUUCUGAAAGUAAUCAUCUUAGUGAGAUACUUCACAUUUGUAUUGGAUCAAAUAAAAAUAAUUCAAUCAAUGAACUUGCCUUGUUAGGAGUCUUUCAUCAUUUAAAUCUCAAAUUACAUACCUCCUGUCUAAGUGUGAUCAAGCACUCGUUCCAUGCAGUUGGGCACAACCAAGCUUGUUUACCAAAGUGAAAACACAUGGCUUGUUAUCCUACAUGAACAACAACCCCAACAUUCCAGGAAGCUAUCUGUCCUUGGGCAAGUGGGAUUUACAGGCACUGAACGAAAAGUUAUCAAGGACUUGGGGUCAAGCUUAAGACAGAUUACAGGACUUGGAAGAUGAGACAAAUAGCUGCUAUGGAAGCAGCCACAGAAGUCUACAAUCCGUAAUAAUCAUGCCAGCCAGUGCACAGAAACGGGGAAAUCAAAAGAACCAACUUGGCCAUAAGCCUCAAAAUAUGAUGCCUUCAUCUUUAGCAACCAUUGAGAAUGGAUGUUCAGUUAAGCAGGCGAUUUCUGUUCUGUUAGAGAUGAUACUUCACAUUUGUAUACAUAAAUACCCACGAUACAG